This 4578-nucleotide unclassified non-coding RNA is filed under the name Nilaparvata lugens (brown planthopper). RNAcentral's name for it is "breast cancer anti-estrogen resistance protein 1, transcript variant X2". The record is from RNAcentral. Lineage: Eukaryota; Metazoa; Arthropoda; Insecta; Hemiptera; Delphacidae.
CUAACAAGAUGGCGGAUUUUGGCGUCAGGAUAUAGCCAAGUUUCCGUACUGUAUGUAUACUGUUUCAGGGUGGUUUCAGUGUCACUGAUUCCCCCCGUCAGCAAUCAGAUCAGAGACAGGUUUAGGUAGCGUACUCCGUACUGUACUUUAGUUGUCAUUGUCACAAAUUGUUGUGAAUGGUGAGAGAGUGAUAAUGAUAGAAACAUCUUGUUUUAAGCUUGAUGCUUAUAGCUAAUUUGAAACAUUUUUUUGUAGUGAGUGAAUUUUUUGUGAUGUAUAGUUUAUUACAGUGGUGUGCAUAAGUAAUGAGGAAUGCCGCAGAUUGAAGAUAACAUGGUCAACACGGCUAGUCCUCAAAAUUGUGUGGCGCGAGCCCUAUACGACAACAUAGCCGAGUCGCCGGAUGAGUUGGCGUUUCGCAAGGGGGACCUGCUUACUGUGCUCGAACAGAAUACCGGUGGCAUCGAGGGAUGGUGGCUUUGCUCGCUUAGGGGCAGACAGGGUAUUUGUCCUGGGAAUCGAUUACGUUUGAUAGCUGGAGUUUACGAAGGUGGUCAAGGCUGUGAUUUGGAUGUGUCCAUCCUGCAGCGACAAGGGAAGCGCCGCAGUUGGCACGUGCAACCCAACAAGGUUCUAACUCCGCAAAAGUUUGGAGACGUGUACCUGUAUGACAUGCCACCCAACAGGAAUAAUUCUCAAGCGCGGUAUGAUGUUCCUCCAACAACCCACAUCACUGUAGUUGACGGCAGCUCAGGCCGCACGUCAAGACCGAGCAGCGGAGACAGUUUGGGGGGUGACUGCUACGACACGCCUCGCACGCCCCGCGCCUGCUACGACACGCCAACGGCACGUGUUGGUGACUGCUACGACACGCCAACGACACGUGUCGGCGACUGCUAUGACACGCCUACGACUCGUGUUGGUGACUGCUACGACGUGCCGCGGCCGUUGGCUGUGCUCACUCCGUCGUCUUCUCUGAGCUCACUCACCACCGACUCACUGUCCGGAUCCAACCGGUCCAGUCUGGCGCCCGAGUACGAUGUUCCCCGCAGUCGACCCUCCUACACCGCCCCACACUCUCAACAGUUGUAUGAUGUUCCUCCGACGAAUCCAGUGCCCCGAGAGUUGCCUUUGGAACUGGGCUCGGCGCUCGAAUCGCUGGCUCGGCUCGAAACAGAAGCCACCUCAGCCAUAUCGCGGCUACUGGGCUAUGCUGGCCCACAAUGGAGAGAAAAAGAAAGACUCGAACCUCGUCUCAUGGACAUUAAACUAGCUGUGCUAAGGCUUCGUACAUCUCUUCACGAUUUGGCCGAAUUUGGCGAAGGAGCUCUAGGAAAUGCUGCCAAAGCUGCUGAUAAGAGUUUGUGUGGGAAGCUGCAACCGCUGGUGAAAGCGCUGCGCACAGGUGACAAGCUGGUGCAGGAAACGUGCAACUCGCUGGAGUCGAUGAACUGGUCGGUCGACCAAUUGUGUCGAGUCGACAGCGAUGGGAACCAACUGCCCGACGCACUCGAUCAGCUGGUCGCCACUGCCAAGGCUCUCACCGAGGACGUCAAGCAAACCGCAUCUUUCAUUCAGGGCAACUCAACACUACUAUUCAAACGAGGCGCAACAUCGCCGAACAGAGGCGAGUGGCUGGACGACUAUGACUACGUGAAUCUGGAGUCGAAGGACAGUGUUGCCAAGCAGCAUGCCGAGAUAAGCGAGUCACUGCCGCCCGAACUGAGCAAGUCUUACGAUGCCCUUGUGCGCGAGGCUGAGGCAGUUGCCAUCUCCAAUAGCCACCCCAAAGCUGAUGACAGUGAUCGACAGGUACUGGUAUUCUACAUGGCGCAGUGUUCAACGCACACAUCACACUUGACGCAUGCAAUCGACGCCUUCCUGCAGACGGUGGAGCACAACCAGCCACCGAAGGUGUUCCUGGCACACGGUAAGUUCGUGGUGCUCAGUGCACACCGGCUGGUGCACAUUGGCGAUUCCGUGCACAGAAACGUGUCUCGCACUGAUGUGCGCAAUAAAGUGCUGCAGUGCGCCAACCAGCUCUCCGAGGCGUUGGCGACAACUGUCCACAAAACAAAAAUGGCGGCUCUACAAUUUCCCAGCGUAACUGCUGUUCAAGAAAUGAUUGACUCUGUUGUUGAUAUCUCGCAUCUUGCGCGCGAUUUGAAGAUGACAUUGGUUGCAGCUGUACAGCAACAAAUGUAAUUCAUUGAUUAUUUUACUAUAACAAUUACUAUUUAAACUUUUGCUAUUUUCCUACUAGAAUGGUAUUCCAUGCCCAUGUCAUUCCAAUGGCAGCCAUUCAUUUGCAUGACUAUGAUUCAUGGUUGAGUAACUCCAUAAGUUUACCGAGAAGCAACUCAGUUUUGUAUUUGUAUAAUCUAUUAUUCCACUGGAUGAAAUUAAAAAAGUAUAAAAUUGAGCUCAAUCAAGUAUAUACUUUAAAAUCAAAAUAGAUAUAUGUGGAGAAGGAAGAAGAUGUGUUUGAAGAACAUAAGUGUGAAUCUGAACGCCUCAAGGACGAGUGAAACUUAUAGAGUAGGUCAACCAUAAAUAAUCUGUCAUGCAGCUUUUCAAAGUAUGGAGUAUUUAUAUAAGAUAUAAGGGGUAUUCACAAUUUCCAACAAAGCUAGCUUACUCGUGUCAUUUGAUAAAUUGUUAUUCGAUAAGUUUGAAAUCAGCCUGGUGAUAGUUCAUUGGAAAAAUCAGGAUAGCAGAUCAUGCCGGUUUGAGUUCGUGAAUUUGCCUAUAUUCGUUAAAUCAUGGAUUUACUAUUACCGUGAUUAACUUAUCGUUAGUCACGCAACUUUUGUUAAUCAACUUAUACAGUUCCAGCAAGUUGGAAUGUUGGAACAACACAGUGAAUGCCCCUAACGUAAACUCAUGGUUGUCUAUUGCUGUGUGUAACUAGUACCUACUUAUUUCAACAUAGUGUAAUAUUUAUAGUUAUUGUAAAUAUUAAAACAUCAUCACUUAGAACAAUGAUAUUGACAAAGACCAUUUUUCUUUUUCCACCCCACAUCUGCCAAAACCUUCAAAUUUAUUUAUACAUUGAUAGAUACAAUAUCAUCAAAUACGGGAAGAAAUGAAAAAAUGCUUCCAUUUUCAUAGUUUUCAUGCUAUCUUAUCUUAGAUUUCUUGAGAACUUUAUUUAUCAAUUAAUUUUACAAAUAGUUUAUAUAUUAUUAGCUUCAGAAACAUUAAAAAAUCUUUAAAUGUAUGCGAUCUUAGAGUAUUAGUACUUAUUUGUAUUUAGUGAAAAAUUACAUGUAUAAAUUACUAAAUAUUUUACCAUAGGUGACAAAUAUGAAGAAGCUAUACUAGAUAAUAUUUAGAUUAAUGAGAAUGAAUCAUUUGUGAUGAAUUUAUUUAUUUUUGUCUAUAAUUUUAAAUUUAAGAUGAUCAUUUCCAAUAUUGAUAACUAACCACUCAUUAUUAAUGUCGCUAACGGUUUUUAACUGGAAUUUGACAAAUUUAAAAUGUUUUUCACUGAAGUGCAACAAAUCAAUUUAAUUCAAGAAAAAUGUUUCGGAACUUCUUCAAUUUCCAGAUGGAUUGGAACUAAAACUAAAUGUACUGUGCAUCACACGAAAUGAUUAUUUUUUAAAAUGUCUAGGGACUAUCUGAAAAACCUCAGACGCUUUGAGAUUUCUUCGCGCAUUACAAAACUAAACUGCGAAUGGCAUUCUAAAUCAACUAAAUGUCGCCUAGUACAAUAAUCUGCUUUGUUUUUUUUUUCAUUUACAGUAAUAGGUUUUUGUUAAUUUUCACUUGUCAAAUUAUUGUUGAAAAUAUAUUAAAUUUGAAGACUUCUUACUAAUAUGAGAAAAACUAAAAUGUGCGAUUGGUUUAAAACUGGAAACAUGCUAAUUGAUGACACAUCUAGUUCUGCACUAGACAGACCAUGAGCAGCGCAAAGUGCCACUAGCUUUAAAUGUUGCAUGAAUUGAAAAUUCCUGUAAUAUUCUUCCAACGCUUUAAUUUUAAACGUUCCUAUUUUUGUUAUGUAUUAAAAAUAAAUAAAUUUUAAUUAAUAUGAGUUUCAUAAAAAAACUAUGUUAGUAGAUGAUUAUAAAUGAUAAACUAUUCAAGACUCCAAAGGUCUUCCAAAUUCUACAACUGUUUGUGCAAUAAUGUAUUUAAAUUUAUAUGAAUGUAGCAGUCUCAUUUUUGUAAUCUCAAUAAAAUUAAUACAUCUAUUUUUUAUUGUUUUAAUGGAACUAACCCAUUUAAAAACAAUGUAUAUAAACGCAAGCUCCUAGUAUGAUUAAUGUGAGUAACUUUGAAUUUAAAAUUAUCAGACGUUAUUGAUAUUCUAAAGUUUUUCAUGUGUGAAUCAUUCAUACAGAAGUGGAUUGGAGUUGCACGGACUUAUACACAUAAAUAACUUAGCCAGAGUCGUUGUCCGUUUCGUUGGACAACAAAAUUGACUCAAUCCUUCGUCCUUUUUUAGGAUACAAAAAAAAUAACAUUGACAGUGCAUAAUAAUUUUUUGGGAGAUUUAUCAUUUAGUCAGCUAAAGAAUUCAUUGUAUGCAAUUACUACAGUAGCCGAGGUAAAUGGGAGGAAUUUACUUUA